AGGGCUAUAGCUCAGUUGGUAGAGCGCCUCGUUUACACCGAGA
RNAcentral lists this transfer RNA (43 nucleotides) under Hydrolea ovata. RNAcentral describes it as "partial transfer RNA-Val". Lineage: Eukaryota; Viridiplantae; Streptophyta; Magnoliopsida; Solanales; Hydroleaceae. The record is from RNAcentral.